UAAUAAGUGUUUUAUGGCACUUUUUAAAUCCAUAUCCACCUUGUGUGCAAUGUCAGUCGAUCUUCUUCAUGGAGAGUCGACCAAACAUCAACCUUUAUCUUUUAACUCUUUGUCUUAAAAAUAUUAUGAAUAAACAAUUCAAAAUA
This 146-nucleotide unclassified non-coding RNA is filed under the name soil metagenome. RNAcentral describes it as "partial internal transcribed spacer 1". The record is from RNAcentral.